ACAAAGAUCUAACUCAUUAUUCAAAUUCACUGUCACAUUUCAAUGCUUUUCUCUUAUCAGUUGUUUUGUAUAUUGAUACAUUAGCACCACAAAACUGAUGAUUCCUCCACAUCAUGUCUCAAAAAACCAGGAAAGGAAGAAGGUGGACAAAAUGAACAGAAAAAGGAAACCACUUAUGAAGAUGAUAAUGAUUCUGUAAAUUAUGAAGAUGAUUUUGAGGACUAUGAAGAUGAUUUUGAGGAUGAAGAUGAUGAAGAGGAUGAAAGUAGCCAGAAUACAAAAAGUGAAAAAGAAGCAGAAGCAGGAUUACAGAAAGUUACUGUAACUAAGAGCUCAGAAGUAGAAGAGAUUCAGAAAGCAAUUAAUGCAGAAAAUGAACAGAUUAAAGCCUUCCUUCCCAACUCAAGAAAAAAUGAACAUCUUCCAAAAGAUCAUGAAAAAUAUCCAAGAAUAGAAAAGCAAGUUUCACUGGCUCAGUGUCCCACAUCUG
This 490-nucleotide long non-coding RNA is filed under the name Notechis scutatus (mainland tiger snake). RNAcentral's name for it is "lncRNA (ENSNSUG00000003849.1)". Lineage: Eukaryota; Metazoa; Chordata; Lepidosauria; Squamata; Elapidae. The record is from RNAcentral.